Molecule: ribosomal RNA, 490 nt
Filed under: uncultured bacterium
Lineage: Bacteria
Description: partial 16S ribosomal RNA
Rfam family: Bacterial small subunit ribosomal RNA
Source: RNAcentral
AUUGAACGCUGGCGGCAGGCCUAACACAUGCAAGUCGAACGGUAACAGGAAGCAGCUUGCUGCUUCGCUGACGAGUGGCGGCCGGGUGAGUAAUGUCUGGGAAGCUGCCUGAUGGAGGGGGAUAACUACUGGAAACGGUAGCUAAUACCGCAUAAUGUCGCAAGACCAAAGAGGGGGACCUUCGGGCCUCUUGCCAUCGGAUGUGCCCAGAUGGGAUUAGCUUGUUGGUGGGGUAACGGCUCACCAAGGCGACGAUCCCUAGCUGGUCUGAGAGGAUGACCGGCCACACUGGGACUGAGACACGGUCCAGACUCCUACGGGAGGCAGCAGUGGGGAAUAUUGCACAAUGGGCGCAAGCCUGAUGCAGCCAUGCCGCGUGUAUGAAGAAGGCCUUCGGGUUGUAAAGUACUUUCAGCGGGGAGGAAGGGAGUAAAGUUAAUACCUUUGCUCAUUGACGUUACCCGCAGAAGAAGCACCGGCUAACUCCGUG